AAAUUAUUUUAGGCAUGGGAUCAAAGAAGAAACUUCUUUGUAGCAGCAUCCCAGUACUAGGACUUUUUGUCUCUGCAUGGAAAUCUGAAUAUAUUUAUAUGUUGGAGUGACAUCUCUACAGGAAGCCUAGAGACCUAACUGUUUGCUACAUGUCACCAAAGUUAAAGUGGCUACCUUAAUGAGCAGCCAGGAUGCCAUCAUCUCCGACCUGAAUGACAAUAACCUCCAAACCAGCCUUUGUAUACUCCUUCCUGCUGCUCUGCAGUCCACUUCCACAGACCAGCCAACUGAAUCUCCUUAUAGAUUCAUAAUGGCCAUCAGCACAAAGAUGUUUUAUCUGCAGUCAACCAGUCAUGUUUCAUGAUGGCAUCAAAAUGUGCUGGAAAAGGUCAGAGAAAAUCAUCAUCAUAAAGUGAAGUGAUUUUCUUCUUUAUGAGCUCCUGAUGUAAACAGACUGAUGAGCACAACACAAUCCUUACUCACCCACAUGACAUCAUACACAAUCACAGCUAAAUGUUUCUAUCUGUCAAAGCCUGAAGAGUGACUACCAGAUUGUUGCCUGAUUGCUAAGAAUUGAUGCUUGUUCAACUGGGAUCUAUCCAGAGAAACAUAAUCCACUUCAAGAAUUUUCUGAAAAGGGAAUCUAAUGCAAGGAAUUAAUUGCAAAGAUGAUGCAAUAUCUGAGAACGAUAGAUUUGACAGUUUGGUCUACAUUUCAAGGCUGGUUAGAUGGGAGUAAUUGGGUCAGUCAUGCUCUUGAAGGAGGCAUACUGGGAGCCAUACAUUACCAGAGGCAGAGGAUUCAAUGGAUGUUUUCUGUUUUCUCUUCUUCGUGCUCUGUAAUUGAGACACAGAACAAAGGAGGAAGACUAAGUGCUCUGCCUUAACUCAGGCCAGGCUGUGGGCGCAAGUGCACCAACGGCUUUGAGACUAACACACAGCUCAGAACAAGGAGGUGAAAAUCUGACAGCUCAAAAUGAAGCAAAAACCCAAGAUUAAAACAGACACCAUUUUGUGCCCACUCAGUCUUCUUUCCAGGGUCAUACAUGUGUUUAUAACCGCACUUCUACAUUCUAUUAUGAGGGCAAGAGUUGUGGCUGCUAUAUAAAUGCUUCCUAGCAUAGUUCCUGACAACUAGGUGAUUCAUGAAUAUUUGCUGAAGAAAUAAAAAUAACUUUAUGAA
RNAcentral lists this long non-coding RNA (1183 nucleotides) under Homo sapiens (human). RNAcentral describes it as "HSALNT0376143". The record is from RNAcentral. Lineage: Eukaryota; Metazoa; Chordata; Mammalia; Primates; Hominidae.